Molecule: long non-coding RNA, 985 nt
Organism: Micropterus salmoides (largemouth bass)
Lineage: Eukaryota; Metazoa; Chordata; Actinopteri; Centrarchiformes; Centrarchidae
Exons: 6
Source: RefSeq, a predicted model, not a curated record
GGAAUUAUUACUGUGAAGCCCAGAACAGAAGAGGACGUCAUAACUCCACCUUACAUCUGAUUGUUGUUGCAGGUUCAUUGAAAUUUCCAGUUGCUCUAUCAGUCAGUGCUGUUGUUCUGGUCUUCAUUCUUCUUCUCUCUGUCGUCCUGUGGAUUAGAAGAGAGAGGUCUUUGCAACAACAACCUGAGGCUGGUGAGAGACCACACAACAGAGCAGAGGAGACAGAUGAACUUCAUGCGAGCGUACAGUGCGUUAGGAACCAGCCAGAGGCUCUCUACUCCAACUUCAGCCCAGCUCAGCCCCUCAGAAACGAGGAGGAGGUUGUUUACGCGACCCCCAUCUUCAACAGUGCCGCAGGAACAAGGCGUCAAGCAGCUGUGGAGGAUGUAUCUGCCCUGUACAGCAGAGUUAAUAGAAGCCACUGAGUGUGAUGACAACAUGGAUCUGUGGUGAAGGAGCAAGAGCAGAAGUUGUGGAACAAGUGCACCGAAGAAGCAGGCGAAUGCUGCUCAAGUGUUUGCAUGUAAUAUUCCUUACAAAUUGAUGGUAGUUCCUUCAGUUACGGAAACUAUAUCAAAUGCUCCUUUUGAUAAAUGAAAUGAUCUUGAAUACAGUUGUUAUAAACUUUAAUCAAGGCUUCUGAGCACAUCCCAUGAUCAGUGAUGGCAAUGAAAAUAACCAUGAAUAAAUAAAUAAAUAAAUAACCUACACACAAACAGUCACAAGUACUAGUAAUGUUGGGGUGUAAAGUGACAACACACAUUGAGUCAAAAACAAGUUCAGAUCUUCACCAGCCUGUUGGACAAUUACACUCCUUGCAUCAAAUCAAACCUGGGUUUUAUAAUAUUUGUGGGGUUUGUUUCUAACCUCCUAUGAGCCUACAAUGGGUGGGGUUACCUACAUCAGGACAACUUCAUAAAGAAGCAUGUGGAUAGGGUCAGUAACCCCUCUUAGGUUUCCUUAUCGCAAUAUUGUUGCCUAAGAC